UAGUAAAAUGUAUAUGAGAUUAACUAAGUUAAUUAAAAUUCUAUGUAGAUAUGUGAUAAUGACAAUAUCUGCUUAAGUCUUGACCAAGUCACGUGCCAGCAGUCGCGGUAAUACGUGGAAGACAAGUGUUAUUCAUCUUUAAUAGGUAUAAAGGGUACCUAGACGGUUAAUUAAGCAUAAUAUGUACUAAUUAACUAGAGUUUAAUGUAAGAAGGAUUGAGUACGGUGAGUGGAGAGAUAAAAUUCAUUCUUAGGAACUGGUAAAGGCGAAGGCAACCUUCUAUGUAAAAAACUGACGUUAAGGGACGAAGGCUCAUGUAAAAUAAUAGGAUUAGAUACCCUAGUAUUGUGGGCAGUAAAUGAUGAGUGUCAUAUACAAGGAUGUGUAUAAAUGAAAGUGUAAGCACUCCACCUCAAGAGUAACGUGGCAACAUGGGAACUGAAAUCAUUAGACCGUUUCUGAAACUCGUAGUGAAGUAUGUUGUUUAAUUUGAUGGUCCACAAAUAACCUUACCACACAAGUGUUGCACGGCUGUCUUCAGUCAAUGUUGUGAAACUUUGGUUAGAUCCAUUAAAUUGACGUAAACCCUUACUUUAAAGUAGUUCGCCAUUGGUAGUGAUAUAAGGGACUAGGACAAGUCAUCAUGACCUAAACA
Molecule: ribosomal RNA, 656 nt
Filed under: Ocellularia sp. SP-2013
Lineage: Eukaryota; Fungi; Ascomycota; Lecanoromycetes; Ostropales; Graphidaceae
Description: SSU rRNA
Rfam family: Bacterial small subunit ribosomal RNA
Source: RNAcentral